Molecule: unclassified non-coding RNA, 377 nt
Filed under: soil metagenome
Description: partial contains 5.8S ribosomal RNA, internal transcribed spacer 2, and large subunit ribosomal RNA
Rfam family: 5.8S ribosomal RNA (bases 1-120)
Source: RNAcentral
GAUGAAGAACGUAGCGAAAUGCGAUAAGUAAUGUGAAUUGCAGAAUUCAGUGAAUCAUCGAAUCUUUGAACGCAUCUUGCGCUCCUUGGUAUUCUGAGGAGCAUGCCUGUUUGAGUGUCAUUAAAUUCUCAACCGCACUGACUUUGAAUUGGUGUGGCUUGGAUUUGGGGGGAAAAUUGUUGUGGGCUUUUUUGUAUAGUCUGCUCCCCUGAAAUUGAUUAGCGGUACCUUUGUGGAACUGUCUACAGGUGUGAUAAUUAUCUACAUCCUAGACAUCUGCUGGAAUGCUGCUUUCUAAACCUUACUUGUAUUGACAAUCUUGAACUCAAAUCAGGUAGGACUACCCGCUGAACUUAAGCAUAUCAAUAAGCGGAGGA